UGGGAUCGACCUUCAUAAUUAUUUGAGGUAAGAGGCACCUGUAUCCUUUAUGCUUCUCACUGUAGCCAAGAAAGAUACAGGAUCUUCACUGUUUUAAGAUUGGUGUGAGCAAGCCUUUGAUGCCAGGUAUCUUCUGCUAUUUCCUGUUGAGUCUGUGUGAAGAAAACUUCUGCAGCUUUAGGUUCCACCUGGUAGAGCCCCUUGACUUUCCUUCCUAGCUUCACCAUUGUAUGACUGUGAUUGUCCUUCAUAUAUACCCCAUGUUUAUCAAAAAUAAAAGAACAGGGAUA
Eucalyptus grandis is the source of this 290-nucleotide long non-coding RNA. RefSeq lists it as uncharacterized. The transcript has 3 exons. The record is from RefSeq and is a predicted model, not a curated record. NCBI's taxonomy places the organism in Eukaryota, Viridiplantae, Streptophyta, Magnoliopsida, Myrtales, Myrtaceae.